CCUUUUGUAGGUGGUUCGUAGCUGCUCUCAUGGCUAAUUCUCAGUUGAAGUUCGAUAGAGGAAAAGCUACUAGUUUCAAGGAGAUUUCAUGGCUGAGUUUCGCUAGAUUCUAGUUGGAAAAUAGAGUUCAUUUUAAAUGCUUUUUUAGGCUAGUUCAAGGACUGUUUGAAGCUAUUUUGUAGCUUUAUUUUGCUGGUAUUUAAGAAAUAUUUCAGGACCAUUUACAGUUGAUUUUGCUGCUGGUUCGACAGCUGCUUCUAUCUCAUUUUUGACGAGUUCGCCGGGUAUAGAGAUGAGGUAGAACACGAGAGAGAAGGCUUGUUUAAGUCGCCGAAGGUGAGGGCUCUUGGGAUUUGUCAUUUCAGAAAAUGAUCUCUUGAAGAAGAGGAUCAGUAACUCUCUUUUUUGUGUUUUUAUCAACACUGGCUGGAGAGGAAUUCUUCUCUCGUGAAGGAGAACG
This 460-nucleotide long non-coding RNA is filed under the name Nicotiana benthamiana. Its description in RNAcentral is "long non-coding RNA (NBEN_LNC011294)". Lineage: Eukaryota; Viridiplantae; Streptophyta; Magnoliopsida; Solanales; Solanaceae. The record is from RNAcentral.